AUACAUGCAAGUCGAGCGAAUGGAUUAAGAGCUUGCUCUUAUAAAGUUAGCGGCGGACGGGUGCCCAUAAGACUGGGAUAACUCCGGGAAACCGGGGCUAAUACCGGAUAACAUUUUGAACCGCAUGGUUCGAAAUUGAAAGGCCGCUUCGGUUGUCACUUAUGGAUGGACCCGCUUCGCAUGAGCUAG
This 189-nucleotide ribosomal RNA is filed under the name Bacillus cereus. RNAcentral describes it as "partial 16S ribosomal RNA". It matches the Rfam family "Bacterial small subunit ribosomal RNA", at positions 51 to 248 of the family's 1533-position model. Lineage: Bacteria; Bacillati; Bacillota; Bacilli; Caryophanales; Bacillaceae. The record is from RNAcentral.